Molecule: ribosomal RNA, 433 nt
Filed under: uncultured bacterium
Lineage: Bacteria
Description: partial 16S ribosomal RNA
Rfam family: Bacterial small subunit ribosomal RNA
Source: RNAcentral
AACGAACGCUGGCGGCAUGCCUAACACAUGCAAGUCGAACGACACCUUCGGGUCUAGUUGCUCAUGGGUGCGUAACGCGUCGGAACCUUCCCUUAUGCUCGGAAUAACUCUCCGUAAUGGGUGCUAAUACCGGAUAAUUUCUUCUGAUCCCAGAUUUAACUUCCUUGUAUGGGCCCGCGUUGUUUUAGCCAGUUGCUAUGGUAAAAGCCUAUCAAGGCUUCGAUAGUUAGCUGGUUAGAGAGGAAGAGCAGCCACACUGGGACUAAGACACGGCCCAGAAUACUACACAAUGCAGCAAAGCCUAAUACUGCAAAAUGGGCUAAAUCAUGAACCAGCAAUGCCUCGUAAGUCAUGAAGGCCUUAGAGAAGUAAAGCUCUUUUACCCGCGACUAUAAUGACAGUACCCAAAGAAUAAGCACCGGCUAACUCCGUG